CAGUCAUGCUAGUGAAAAUUCAGUUUGGUGGGUUUUGGGUUCAGGAGUUGAGGCAGGGACAAACCGUUUCUCUUUUGAACUUGGAAUUUGUCAGAUGCACUUUUUCUUUGCAGGUCAGCGUCGAUUUCGGAGGUUGUAAAAUACUUGGGGAAAAGUAGCUCUGCUUCGGGAGAGUGUUAUAGACCUUGGGUGAUGCGGCCUGCGGGAUCGAGGAUUGCAGCAAAUGCCUUUGGCUAUGUCGCCUGAUCUCUGGACGUCACCUCGCUUGUA
RNAcentral lists this ribosomal RNA (270 nucleotides) under Diversispora celata. The record is from RNAcentral. Lineage: Eukaryota; Fungi; Glomeromycota; Glomeromycetes; Diversisporales; Diversisporaceae.